CAAUAGCGUAUAUUUAAGUUGCUGCAGUUAAAAAGCUCGUAGUUGGAUUUCGGGUGGGAAUGGCCGGUCCGCCGUUUCGGUGUGCACUUGCUACGCCCACCUUGCUGCCGGGGACGUGCUCUUGAGUUCACGCUCGGGACACGGAGUCGGCGAGGUUACUUUGAGUAAAUUAGAGUGUUCCAAGCAGGCCUACGCUCUGAAUACAUUAGCAUGGAAUAACACGAUAGGACUCUGGCCUAUCUUGUUGGUCUGUAGGACCGGAGUAAUGAUUAAGAGGGACAGUCGGGGGCAUUCGUAUUUCAUUGUCAGAGGUGAAAUUCUUGGAUUUAUGAAAGACGAACUACUGCGAAAGCAUUUGCCAAGGAUGUUUUCAUUAA
This 377-nucleotide ribosomal RNA is filed under the name uncultured eukaryote. RNAcentral describes it as "partial 18S ribosomal RNA". It matches the Rfam family "Eukaryotic small subunit ribosomal RNA", at positions 592 to 976 of the family's 1831-position model. The record is from RNAcentral.